AGGCUUAACACAUGCAAGUCGAGGGCCAGCACGAAUGUAGCAAUACAUUGGUGGCGACCGGCGCACGGGUGAGUAACGCGUAUGCAACCUACCUAUCAGAGGGGAAUAACCCGGCGAAAGUCGGACUAAUACCGCAUAAAACAGGGGUUCCACAUGGAAAUAUUUGUUAAAGAAUUAUCGCUGAUAGAUGGGCAUGCGUUCCAUUAGAUAGUUGGUGAGGUAACGGCUCACCAAGUCCACGAUGGAUAGGGGUUCUGAGAGGAAGGUCCCCCACACUGGUACUGAGACACGGACCAGACUCCUACGGGAGGCAGCAGUGAGGAAUAUUGGUCAAUGGGCGAGAGCCUGAACCAGCCAAGUCGCGUGAAGGAUGAAGGAUCUAUGGUUUGUAAACUUCUUUUAUAUGGGAAUAAAGUGAGGAACGUGUUCCUUUUUGUAUGUACCAUAUGAAUAAGCAUCGGCUAACUCCGUGCCAGCAGCCGCGGUAAUACGGAGGAUGCGAGCGUUAUCCGGAUUUAUUGGGUUUAAAGGGUGCGUAGGUGGUUAAUUAAGUCAGCGGUGAAAGUUUGUGGCUCAACCAUAAAAUUGCCGUUGAAACUGGUUGACUUGAGUAUAUUUGAGGUAGGCGGAAUGCGUGGUGUAGCGGUGAAAUGCAUAGAUAUCACGCAGAACUCCGAUUGCGAAGGCAGCUUACUAAACUAUAACUGACACUGAAGCACGAAAGCGUGGGGAUCA
Molecule: ribosomal RNA, 735 nt
Filed under: uncultured Bacteroidales bacterium
Lineage: Bacteria; Pseudomonadati; Bacteroidota; Bacteroidia; Bacteroidales
Description: bacterial SSU rRNA
Rfam family: Bacterial small subunit ribosomal RNA
Source: RNAcentral